GAUGAACGCUGGCGGCGUGCCUAAUACAUGCAAGUCGAGCGAACGGACGAGAAGCUUGCUUCUCUGAUGUUAUCGGCGGACGGGUGAUUAACACGUGGAUAACCUACCUAUAAGACUGGGAUAACUUCGGGAAACCGUAGCUAAUACCGGAUGAUAUUUUGAACCGCAUGGUUCAAAAGUGAAAGACGGUCUUGCUGUCACUUAUAGAUGGAUCCGCGCUGCAUUAGCUAGUUGGUAAGGUAACGGCUUACCAAGGCAACGAUGCAUAGCCGACCUGAGAGGGUGAUCGGACACACUGGAACUGAGAAACGGUCCAGACUCCUACGGGAGGCAGCAGUAGGGAAUCUUCCGCAAUGGGCGAAAGCCUGACGGAGCAAAGCCGCGUGAGUGAUGAAGGUCUUCGGAUCGUAAAACUCUGUUAUUAGGGAAGAACAUAUGUGUAAGUAACUGUGCACAUAUUGACGGUACCUAAUCAGAAAGCCACGGCUAACUACGUG
RNAcentral lists this ribosomal RNA (497 nucleotides) under uncultured bacterium. RNAcentral's name for it is "partial 16S ribosomal RNA". It matches the Rfam family "Bacterial small subunit ribosomal RNA", at positions 28 to 507 of the family's 1533-position model. The record is from RNAcentral.